RNAcentral lists this ribosomal RNA (468 nucleotides) under uncultured bacterium. RNAcentral's name for it is "partial 16S ribosomal RNA". It matches the Rfam family "Bacterial small subunit ribosomal RNA", at positions 28 to 507 of the family's 1533-position model. The record is from RNAcentral.
GACGAACGCUGGCGGCGUGCUUAACACAUGCAAGUCGAACGGAAAGGCCCUGCUUUUGUGGGGUGCUCGAGUGGCGAACGGGUGAGUAACACGUGAGUAACCUGCCCUUGACUUUGGGAUAACUUCAUGAAACUGGGGCUAAUACCGGAUAGGAGCUCCUGCUGCAUGGUGGGGGUUGGAAAGUUUCGGCGGUUGGGGAUGGACUCGCGGCUUAUCAGCUUGUUGGUGGGGUAGUGGCUUACCAAGGCUUUGACGGGUAGCCGGCCUGAGAGGGUGACCGGCCACAUUGGGACUGAGAUACGGCCCAGACUCCUACGGGAGGCAGCAGUGGGGAAUAUUGAACAAUGGGCGGAAGCCUGAUGCAGCAACGCCGCGUGCGGGAUGACGGCCUUCGGGUUGUAAACCGCUUUCGCCUGUGACGAAGCGUGAGUGACGGUAAUGGGUAAAGAAGCACCGGCUAACUACGUG